CGUGCUGGCUGAAUCAGAGAUUGGCAGCACAGUGUUUAACUUAACUCUUUAGGAGAGAAUUAUGUCUCUGAAUGCAGAAACUAAAGCAGCAAUCGUUGCAGAAUACGCUCAAGGUGAA
Molecule: non-coding RNA, 118 nt
Filed under: Vibrio hippocampi
Lineage: Bacteria; Pseudomonadati; Pseudomonadota; Gammaproteobacteria; Vibrionales; Vibrionaceae
Description: S15
Rfam family: Ribosomal S15 leader
About the family: The E. coli Ribosomal S15 gene 5' UTR can form two alternative structures.
Source: RNAcentral